CAAUCGUAAGAUCAAAUUUAUUACAAAAAACCACUGCCAACUAUCCUUAGCCGCUUGUAUUUCAGUAGCGCAAUUCUCAAUCAGAGACGGACUUUCGUGAUUGAAAUGGCUGACGAGAGCGGAAUAAAGUAUGAAUUUCAUAAUAAAGUCACUCAUAAAAAUAGGAACGAUUAUUUUAAUGCAGUAGGCUCUUGUUUUACAUUUCGUUUACUUCAUUUAUACAUAUUAAUGUUUGAGUAUAAUAUU
Molecule: unclassified non-coding RNA, 246 nt
Filed under: Moritella viscosa
Lineage: Bacteria; Pseudomonadati; Pseudomonadota; Gammaproteobacteria; Alteromonadales; Moritellaceae
Description: putative sRNA
Source: RNAcentral